GGUUCGGGAGGCAGAAGUGGGGAAUAUUGCACAAUGGGGGCAAGGCUGAUGCAGCGACGCCGCGUGAGGGAUGACGGCCUUCGGGUUGUAAAGCUCUUUCAGUAGGGAAGAAGCGAAAGUGACGGUUCCUGCACAAGAAGCGCCGGCUAACUACGUGGCAGCUGGCCCGGUAAUACGUAGGGCGCAAGCGUUAUCCGGAAUUUUUGGCCGUAAAGAGCUC
This 220-nucleotide ribosomal RNA is filed under the name uncultured Arthrobacter sp. RNAcentral describes it as "partial 16S ribosomal RNA". It matches the Rfam family "Bacterial small subunit ribosomal RNA", at positions 338 to 570 of the family's 1533-position model. Lineage: Bacteria; Bacillati; Actinomycetota; Actinomycetes; Micrococcales; Micrococcaceae. The record is from RNAcentral.